CAAAGGUGAGCCAGUACAGGAUGGACCCGCGUCUGAUUAGCUAGUUGGUAAGGUAACGGCUUACCAAGGCGACGAUCAGUAGCCGACCUGAGAGGGUGAUCGGCCACAUUGGAACUGAGACACGGUCCAAACUCCUACGGGAGGCAGCAGUGGGGAAUAUUGCACAAUGGGCGAAAGCCUGAUGCAGCAACGCCGCGUGAGUGAUGAAGGCCUUCGGGUCGUAAAACUCUGUCCUCAAGGAAGAUAAUGACGGUACUUGAGGAGGAAGCCCCGGCUAACUACGUGCCAGCAGCCGCGGUAAUACGUAGGGGGCUAGCGUUAUCCGGAUUUACUGGGCGUAAAGGGUGCGUAGGCGGUCUUUCAAGUCAGGAGUGAAAGGCUACGGCUCAACCGUAGUAAGCUCUUGAAACUGGGAGACUUGAGUGCAGGAGAGGAGAGUGGAAUUCCUAGUGUAGCGGUGAAAUGCGUAGAUAUUAGGAGGAACACCAGUUGCGAAGGCGGCUCUCUGGACUGUAACUGACGCUGAGGCACGAAAGCGUGGGGAGCAAACAGGAUUAGAUACCCUGGUAGUCCACGCU
Molecule: ribosomal RNA, 578 nt
Filed under: uncultured bacterium
Lineage: Bacteria
Description: bacterial SSU rRNA
Rfam family: Bacterial small subunit ribosomal RNA
Source: RNAcentral